UACGUAGGGGGCUAGCGUUGUCCGGAUUUAUUGGGCGUAAAGAGCGUGUAGGCGGCCAGGUAGGUCUGGUGUGAAAACUCGAGGCUUAACCUCGAGAUGUCAUCGGAAACCAUCUGGCUAGAGUCCGGAAGAGGAGAGUGGAAUUCCUGGUGUAGCGGUGAAAUGCGCAGAUAUCAGGAAGAACACCCGUGGCGAAGGCGGCUCUCUGGGACGGUACUGACGCUGAGACGCGAAAGCCAGGGGAGCGAACGGG
Molecule: ribosomal RNA, 253 nt
Filed under: uncultured bacterium
Lineage: Bacteria
Description: partial 16S ribosomal RNA
Rfam family: Bacterial small subunit ribosomal RNA
Source: RNAcentral